Molecule: small nuclear RNA, 140 nt
Organism: Mustela erminea (ermine)
Lineage: Eukaryota; Metazoa; Chordata; Mammalia; Carnivora; Mustelidae
Product: U4 spliceosomal RNA
Exons: 1
Source: RefSeq, a predicted model, not a curated record
AGCUUUGCGCAGUGGCAGUAUCGUAGCCAAUGAGGUUUAUCCGAGGCGCGAUUAUUGCUAAUUGAAAAGAAAUAAAUUUUAAAAAGAGUAAAAAAAAAAAGGAAAAUCUAAUAUUUAGAAUUUAAAACCUACAACUUUGA